Molecule: small RNA, 31 nt
Filed under: Arabidopsis thaliana (thale cress)
Lineage: Eukaryota; Viridiplantae; Streptophyta; Magnoliopsida; Brassicales; Brassicaceae
Description: ATSL071620
Source: RNAcentral
AUCGAUAAAGCAAGCACAUUCUCAUCAUCUU